CGAAAGCCUGACGGAGCAAUACCGCGUGAGGGAGGAAGGCUCUUGGGUUGUAAACCUCUUUUCUCAGGGAAGAAUACAUGACGGUACCUGAGGAAUCAGCAUCGGCUAACUCCGUGCCAGCAGCCGCGGUAAUACGGAGGAUGCAAGCGUUAUCCGGAAUGGUUGGGCGUAAAGCGUCCGCAGGUGGCAGUGAAAGUCUGCUGUCAAAGAGUCUGGCUCAACCAGAUAAAGGCAGUGGAAACUACACAGCUAGAGUACGUUCGGGGCAGAGGGAAUUCCUGGUGUAGCGGUGAAAUGCGUAGAGAUCAGGAAGAACAUCGGUGGCGAAGGCGCUCUGCUAGGCCGUAACUGACGCUGAGGGACGAAAGCUAGGGGAGCGAAUGGGAUUAGAUACCCCAGUAGUCCUAGCCGUAAACGAUGGAUACUAGGUGUUGCUUGUAUCGACCCGAGCAGUACCGUAGCUAACGCGUUAAGUAUCCCGCCUGGGGAGUACGCAGGCAACUGUGAAACUCAAAGGAAUUGACGGGGGCCCGCACAAGCGGUGGAGUAUGUGGUUUAAUUCGAUGCAACGCGAAGAACCUUACCAGGGCUUGACAUGUCGCGAACCCUUGUGAAAGCAGGGGGUGCCUUCGGGAGCGCGAACACAGGUGGUGCAUGGCUGUCGUCAGCUCGUGUCGUGAGAUGUUGGGUUAAGUCCCGCAACGAGCGCAACCCUCGUUUUUAGUUGCCAUCAUUAAGUUGGGCACUCUAGAGAGACUGCCGGUGACAAACCGGAGGAAGGUGGGGAUGACGUCAAGUCAGCAUGCCCCUUACGUCCUGGGCUACACACGUACUACAAUGCGCCGAACAGAGGGCAGCAAGCGUGCGAAUGCAAGCUAAUCCCGGAAAUCGGCGCUCAGUUCAGAUCGCAGGCUGCAACUCGCCUGCGUGAAGUUGGAAUCGCUAGUAAUUGCAGGUCAGCAUACUGCAGUGAAUUCGUUCCCGGGCCUUGUACACACCGCCCGUCACACCAUGGAAGCUGGUAGUGCCCGAAGUCAUUACCCCAACCUCCGGGAGGGGGAUGCCUAAGGCAGGA
RNAcentral lists this ribosomal RNA (1075 nucleotides) under Stigonema tomentosum CBFS A-028. RNAcentral describes it as "bacterial SSU rRNA". It matches the Rfam family "Bacterial small subunit ribosomal RNA", at positions 376 to 1467 of the family's 1533-position model. The record is from RNAcentral. Lineage: Bacteria; Bacillati; Cyanobacteriota; Cyanophyceae; Nostocales; Stigonemataceae.